RNAcentral lists this ribosomal RNA (253 nucleotides) under uncultured Eubacteriales bacterium. RNAcentral describes it as "uncultured Clostridiales bacterium partial 16S ribosomal RNA". It matches the Rfam family "Bacterial small subunit ribosomal RNA", at positions 524 to 776 of the family's 1533-position model. Lineage: Bacteria; Bacillati; Bacillota; Clostridia; Eubacteriales. The record is from RNAcentral.
UACGUAUGGAGCAAGCGUUAUCCGGAUUUACUGGGUGUAAAGGGAGCGUAGGUGGCAAGGCAAGUCAGAUGUGAAAACCCGGGGCCCAACCCCGGGAGUGCAUUUGAAACUGUCCGGCUAGAGUGCAGGAGAGGUAAGUGGAAUUCCUAGUGUAGCGGUGAAAUGCGUAGAUAUUAGGAGGAACACCAGUGGCGAAGGCGGCCUGCUGGACGGUGACUGACGCUGGGGCUCGAAAGCGUGGGGAGCAAACAGG